Molecule: ribosomal RNA, 275 nt
Filed under: uncultured Myxococcus sp.
Lineage: Bacteria; Pseudomonadati; Myxococcota; Myxococcia; Myxococcales; Myxococcaceae
Description: partial 16S ribosomal RNA
Rfam family: Bacterial small subunit ribosomal RNA
Source: RNAcentral
CCUACGGGAGGCAGCAGUGGGGAAUUUUGCGCAAUGGGCGAAAGCCUGACGCAGCAACGCCGCGUGUGUGAUGAAGGUCUUCGGAUUGUAAAGCACUUUCGACCGGGACGAAAACCCGUUGGCUAACAUCCAACGGCUUGACGGUACCGGGAGAAGAAGCACCGGCUAACUCUGUGCCAGCAGCCGCGGUAAUACAGAGGGUGCAAGCGUUGUUCGGAAUUAUUGGGCGUAAAGCGCGUGUAGGCGGCGUGACAAGUCGGGUGUGAAAGCCCUCA